GACGAACGCUGGCGGCGUGCUUAACACAUGCAAGUCGAACGGAAAGGCCUUUUCGGAGGUACUCGAGUGGCGAACGGGUGAGUAACACGUGGGUGAUCUGCCCUGCACUCUGGGAUAAGCCUGGGAAACUGGGUCUAAUACCGGAUAGGACCGCACUUUAGUGUGUGUGGUGGAAAGUUUUUUCGGUGUAGGAUGAGCCCGCGGCCUAUCAGCUUGUUGGUGGGGUAAUGGCCUACCAAGGCGGCGACGGGUAGCCGGACUGAGAGGUUGGUCGGCCACAUUGGGACUGAGAUACGGCCCAGACUCCUACGGGAGGCAGCAGGGGGGAAUAUUGCACAAUGGGCGCAAGCCUGAUGCAGCGACGCCGCGUGGGGGAUGACGGCCUUCGGGUUGUAAACUCCUUUCGCCAGGGACGAAGCGUUUUGUGACGGUACCUGGAGAAGAAGCACCGGCUAACUAAGUG
RNAcentral lists this ribosomal RNA (463 nucleotides) under uncultured bacterium. RNAcentral's name for it is "partial 16S ribosomal RNA". It matches the Rfam family "Bacterial small subunit ribosomal RNA", at positions 28 to 507 of the family's 1533-position model. The record is from RNAcentral.